AUGAUUCCAACCAGGACGUUUCCAGCAAUGUUUAUCCGGUCCCGGGAAAACGUCGGAGGAAAAGAGGACAUAUCAGAUGAUCCAUAUGUGGAAGAUGUUGCAGUGGCCCUUCUCACUGUCAUCAGUGACCAGGACACAAAUCCAGUCCACUAUCAGCCUGUGAAAGUCUCAGUGGUGAUUGAAAGUGACGUCAUUCUCAGCUGUUCCAGGUAUUCUGAGGCCUUCGUAACUAUGUUUGGACUUAUUUAUGCUCUACACCUAAGGUGUCCUAAAUCACUUGCCAUGGCCUUUGAAUUUGUUCAGAAGGUUUUACUUGGUGUAGCAGACGGUAAACUGUCACCCUAGUUACAAACGCUCAAGAAUGACCUGACCAUUCAUGUAAUGGCAAUUGAUUGCCUCAAAAUUUUUGAGUAACCGAACUUAUUUGAUUUACAGUGUGGUAACAAAAAUAUUUAGAGUUGAAUGGAUAAUGAAUUUUAAUUUAAUCUAACUCAAGGUGUAUGAGUAGAAUUUAUUAAUAAAUUAAAUUUCUAAAGACGUAGAAUAUUUUGUUUUGAAACUCAAAAUUUUUGAGGCAAUCGAUCACCUCAAAAAUUUUGAGUUGUGGGAAUUUAUUUGGUUUACAGUGUGGGAACUAAAAUAUUUUGAGUUGAUUGGAUGAGCAAUUUUAAUUUAUAAACUUCAAAUGUAUGAGUAAAAUUUAUGAAGAAAUUUCAUUUAUGAAAACUUAAAAUUUUCUGUAUCAAAACUCAAAAAAAUUGAGGCAAUUGAUUGCCUCAAAAUUUUUGAGUUCAAAGAACUUAUUUGGGUUUACAGCUUUGACACAAACACACAGAGAUCCAACUCACCAGACACCACUUUCACUUGGGACUCUGUGUGCAGAGUUUACCUGCAUCUCAGUGUGAGUUUGUGUGUGCGAGUGUGUGUAUGUGCCUCUCUCCUCGUCUUUGCUUUCCAGGCAUCCACCUAUGCUCGGCCUCGCCAUCUGUUCCUCACGCUGAGGAACACGGUGCUCUGUCUUGCUGCAGGCGCUGUCACAUGGUGGGAAAAAUUGUCAACUCAACUAAAACAGAAAAAGGAAAGGUAUGAAGGUGUUUCAGGACAUAGUCAAUGUUUUUUUAUUUUCCUAAAGAGGUUGUGUGAAGGGCUCAUGAUUGUUCUAUGUCUUACUUGCAUGAUCAGUGAGAUCUUAUUUUGUAAAUGAGGGAUCAAGUUUGAGUGGGGAGCUGAAGGGUAAAGAGAACCAAUGAAAAGACCAGGAUCCACAUCGACUGAAGGGUCACUUUUGCAUCAGCCGUUUGUUUACCUUCUCAUUGUGCUGGUGAUGAUGCACGCAACAGGGACGUUUCUCAGGUUAGAAAAUUGUUGCAAAGUAAACAACUGUCUGUAAAAACCUGAUACAAAGGUUGAGAAGUUCUAUGCAACUUUAAGCUUGACUUGUAAACAGUGUUGG
This 1453-nucleotide long non-coding RNA is filed under the name Nothobranchius furzeri (turquoise killifish). RNAcentral's name for it is "lncRNA (ENSNFUG00015012811.1)". Lineage: Eukaryota; Metazoa; Chordata; Actinopteri; Cyprinodontiformes; Nothobranchiidae. The record is from RNAcentral.